UUGACAGAGCAGAUUCUAUAGUUUGAGAAUCAUAUACUAUAUGCCCUCGGUUAGAAUUAGUCUCAGUAUCCGUUGCUAAAUUAGUAAGGCACCCAGACAUAGUUGUUUGUUUGGAAACUAUGAAAGUGUUGACCGUCGUAACUUUCCGUAGGACACUCAUAAUAUAUAACUAUAUCUGAAGCAUUUCUUCAUCUCUUUUGUUUUGUAGGGGGAGAUUGUGAAGGUUUAUGCUAAUGAGCAGAGAAAAAUUACAUGUGAUCAAUAUCCCUUAUGGCCAUCCUACCGAGUUUUCGAUACAGUCUGCUGACGACGCCGAGUACAAUCUCAAGCCUGGAGAUAACUCCCCGUGAGUUUGAGUUUCGGUACCAAGUCAACACUCUCUUAUAUGUUGUACGCGUGUGUUAAUGGUCAAGUGAUGAGAGAGACACUCUACAGGUCCCGGGAUAGCAUCGUGCUGAUACUGCGACUCUUCAGAAUGAAGAGCAAAGGAAGGAAGAAAGGCAUCUUCUUCAAGUAGAGUGGAGUCGAUGAGAGUGUUGUUUGCUUGCUUGUAGCUGGGUAUUUAUUCAUUUGGCCGUGGUCGUACCGCGAUUAUUAUUGGUUGUAGACAGGAAAAUCAAGGAGGAUUAGGUGGUAAGUAGGUAGCUAACUAGCAAUUUCUGGCUUCUCAUUCAUGUGAUGUAUUAUAUUUAUUGUUACGGACUUACAGUUUAUAUUGUAUCUAUCAUCUCUCUGUUUGUUACUCUUCCAUGUGUGUAAAGGAAGUAAGAAAUAUGCAUAUGGAUGAAUUACUCAA
Hordeum vulgare subsp. vulgare (domesticated barley) is the source of this 796-nucleotide long non-coding RNA. RefSeq lists it as uncharacterized. The transcript is spliced from 3 exons. The record is from RefSeq and is a predicted model, not a curated record. NCBI's taxonomy places the organism in Eukaryota, Viridiplantae, Streptophyta, Magnoliopsida, Poales, Poaceae.